Long non-coding RNA from Carassius gibelio (silver crucian carp), 1483 nucleotides. RefSeq lists it as uncharacterized. Lineage: Eukaryota; Metazoa; Chordata; Actinopteri; Cypriniformes; Cyprinidae. The transcript is spliced from 2 exons. The record is from RefSeq and is a predicted model, not a curated record.
UUUCGUUUUGGUUGUUCACGAAAACCAGGUGUGAAAACGCUUAGUGGUGAAAUUUAUUCUGAAUCAAACGGACCUCGCCACUAGAUAAAAACUUGUAUGCAGUGUGAAAAUACCGAGACUUUGGAAGCACGUGGAAUAUUUUUUUUAUAAUGGUUACAGAGUACUAUGUAUGGGUAGCGUGGCCGAGCGGUCUAAGGCGCUGGAUUAAGGCUCCAGUCUCUUCGGGGGCGUGGGUUCGAAUCCCACCGCUGCCAAUAAUUUUGAAUGCAUGACAUUGACUUGGUAAAAAAUGAAGCAUUGCAGUACUGAGAACAUUUCAAAACCAUUUACCGCUCUCGUAAAAAAUACACAAGUCUGGGUGUAUUCAUGUGGAUAUUCCAACACAGACGAAGUGUUUUCUCGUACUGAUUAAAUAUCGAAUCAGACGGAAAUAUAUCAUUAUUCAGCGUACGAAAAUAAAUCGAUAAAUACAUAAAACAAAUUUCUGUUCCAAGUAUAUUGCAGUUCAAUGUCACUUUAAACAGCUGCAACAGACGAAUAUAGAAUGUGUGAUAGUCAAUUAAAGCUACUUGCGGUGAGAAAUUAACUUUCAUGUGGUUUGAGCGGUCUCUAGUGGUGUGUUUCACAAACGACAAUAGUGCAACCUAUGCAAGUAAAUCUUCUGCAAGUAGAAACAAAAGCUCAGUGCUGUUAAUGAACGCUUAAUUUUAUUUUAAUCUAUAAAAUAAUUUAAUUUAAUAAUUUUCAUUUAUCUUAAUUUUAUUAAUUUCAUCUUCAAUAUAUAUCUUGAAAAACAGAAGGGCCCAUAGGGACCUUUUGCAAACCGUGCAAAGUGCAAACGCAUUUCAGUCUCGUGUGUUUUUACCCUUUUUGUGACUCGUAAUUUGAUUCGGGUACUACAGGGGCCCUGUCCCAAACGGCACCAUAAACCCUCGCGGUCUUUCUCUAAAUCCGCUAAAUCCGCACUUUCGUGACUGUCGGGUAGAAGUCUGUUUGCGGAGCACGCCCCAGUGAGCCAGAUCGAGGGCGCAUGACUCGUAAGGGGGCGCUCGCGAGCAGCCUUCUGAACGCUAAAAUGACAAAUGGAACACUCUACGGACUUCUUGUGACUAACGGACUUUUACGGAAGUUUAUAAAGUUAAUUUUCAUCUACUUUAUUAUGAAUCAUUCUGUUUGAUUGCUGCCGUGAAGCACUGCAUCAACGAAGCUGUGUGAACAAAGUGAACGAAUUUGGCGAUGUCCUACAGCUUUAUCUUGUAACGUUAAUUAUAUGGUGUGGAAGUUAUCGGUGCCAGUUUGAAUGUACUCUGACCCUCCACAUCCCUUCAUACAAACAACCCGCUUUCUCCAGUCUACCCUCUGUUGAAACCCCAUGUCGGCCUUCUACCUCAGGCAUGAGCCCAAAUUCCAGCAUUUCUACUCCUUCUGUUGUGCAUAUAAAGUAUUCAUUGUUAUAUCUAAUAAAUAUUUGUAAAAUUCAGAA